AGGCUGCAACUCGCCUACAUGAAGCCGGAAUCGCUAGUAAUCGCGGAUCAGCAUGCCGCGGUGAAUACGUUCCCGGGCCUUGUACACACCGCCCGUCACACCACGAGAGUUUGUAACACCCGAAGUCGGUGGGGUAACCGUAAGGAGCCAGCCGCCUAAGGUGGGACAGAUGAUUGGGGUGAAGUCGUAACAAGGUAGCCGUAUCGGAAGGUGCGGCUGGAUCACCUCCUUU
RNAcentral lists this non-coding RNA (232 nucleotides) under Bacillus sp. MRMR6. Its description in RNAcentral is "Bacterial small subunit ribosomal RNA". It matches the Rfam family "Bacterial small subunit ribosomal RNA", at positions 1302 to 1533 of the family's 1533-position model. The record is from Rfam by way of RNAcentral. Lineage: Bacteria; Bacillati; Bacillota; Bacilli; Caryophanales; Bacillaceae.